CUUGCAGGAAAUUGAGGAAGACUUGGAUGAGGCUUUUUCUAGACUGGCAGUGUCCCGUACUAACCCCCAGGUCCUGGAUGUUGGGGUGACCCCCCAGGAUUUGCUUACAGAACCUGACCUGGCCAAUGGGAACACAUGCAACCAGAACACAUCGAACACCACCAAUGGAGAUGACUUCUCCUUUGUCUUCUGAUUGGCUACCGGAGGGUGACUCUUUGGCCCAAUCCCAAAUCAAACCCCUAGGCCCUACGCUGGAGCUACAGCAUACCAUAUUUGUUUCCCCCUCUCAGGUCUGCACAAGUGCAUAGGUCAAUUUGAGAUGGGGCCCAUAGAGUUGGCUUUGGCUCCAUUCCAAACCGAUCCCUUUCCUCUGUCCUUAUUCCCUAGUUGACUCCCUCCCCCCUUAUAGAUCUGAAAGGACUGCAUAGGUUGACUCCCUCCCCCCUUAUAGAUCUGAAAGGACUGCAUAGGUUGAGAGCUUUUGGUUGAACUUAUGUCCAAACUUUUUUUUUUUUUCAAGUUUCAACCAAGUUUUUAUAGAUCUACACGGGGCCGCCAGGAAGAACCUAUGGGUAGAGGCUAGGGACUUGAACCGGGACCUGCCCCCCCCCCCACCACCACAGCAGUAUGCAGUACUCUUUGGGACCACGGCAGUAUGCAGUGCUCUUUGGGACCACGGCAGUGUGCAGUGCUCUUUGGGACCACGGCAGUGUGCAGUGCUCUUUGGGACCACGGCAGUGUGCAGUGCUCUUUGGGACCACGGCAGUGUGCAGUGCUCUUUGGGACCACGGCAGUGUGCAGUGCUCUUUGGGACCACGGCAGUGUGCAGUGCUCUUUGGGACCACGGCAGUGCUCUUUGGGACCACGGCAGUGCUCUUUGGGACCACGGCAGUGCUCUUUGGGACCACGGCAGUGCUCUUUGGGACCACGGCAGUGUGCAGUGCUCUUUGAACCAUAAUCAUUAUUAUUUACCUUUAUUUAUUUUGUGUUGGUUCUAAUUUAUAUUUGUUCUAACUAAGGACGGGAUGUGUAAUUUCAGUCAGUUAAUCUCAAUAUAAAUCUGUCACAUUACAUUUUCGAUUAGUCUUCUACAUAAACACACUUGAUACUACAAAGCCUCUAUACAGACCAAGCAAGACGAUCGAGGUUGGUACUCCCUGCUUUGCUUAGGGGAUGUAGUCUGCAUACUAGAGUUUAGUUCAGUUGUCAUGAAACAGCAGAAAUCACUUUGGAGAAGAAAAAAAAUGGUACUUCCUGAAUUUGUUUUCUCCAACUUAUUCAAAACUAUUUGUCCUGUUUGUGCCUACUUAAUGUGACCCAGGAAAGUGAUAUACUAUAUUGAAAUCCUUCCAUGGCCAGUUUCAACCUGUUCUGUAACCUAUCUUGACCAAUAAGCACCAUGUAGUACUGUAUAACAGCAGAACUUUUUGAAUAAAACUUUUUAAUCAUGCAUAUGAUAUU
Molecule: long non-coding RNA, 1461 nt
Organism: Oncorhynchus gorbuscha (pink salmon)
Lineage: Eukaryota; Metazoa; Chordata; Actinopteri; Salmoniformes; Salmonidae
Exons: 2
Source: RefSeq, a predicted model, not a curated record